RNAcentral lists this ribosomal RNA (378 nucleotides) under uncultured archaeon. RNAcentral's name for it is "bacterial SSU rRNA". It matches the Rfam family "Archaeal small subunit ribosomal RNA", at positions 345 to 727 of the family's 1478-position model. The record is from RNAcentral.
AAACUUUACAAUGCGGGAAACCGUGAUAAGGGAACUCUGAGUGCCCGUAAAAUCGGGCUGUCCAUCAGUGUAAAUAACUGGUGAAGAAAGGGCCGGGCAAGACCGGUGCCAGCCGCCGCGGUAAUACCGGCGGCUCGAGUGGUGGCCACUAUUACUGGGCUUAAAGCGUCCGUAGCAGGGUUGUUAAGUCUCUUGGGAAAUCUACCGGCUCAACCGAUAGGCGUUCAGGGGAUACUGGCAACCUAGGGACCGGAAGAGGUGAGAGGUACUCCAGGGGUAGGAGUGAAAUCCUGUAAUCCUUGGGGGACCACCUGUGGCGAAGGCGUCUCACCAGGACGGCUCCGACUGUGAGGGACGAAAGCUGGGGGAGCAAACCGG